UAAUUUGUUUAGAGCAGAUUCUCAUUAGUUAUUGCAAAUUUACAUGUGACUACUCAUAAUCAUUUACUACUAUGUGAACAAUAACUUUUUGAGAUUUUAAUUAGAGU
Non-coding RNA from Populus trichocarpa (black cottonwood), 107 nucleotides. NCBI's taxonomy places the organism in Eukaryota, Viridiplantae, Streptophyta, Magnoliopsida, Malpighiales, Salicaceae. The record is from Rfam.